GCCAGACUCCUACGGGAGGCAGCAGUGGGGGGUAUUGCACAAUGGGGGGAACCCUGAUGCAGCGACGCCGCGUGGGUGAAGAAGUAUUUCGGUAUGUAAAGCCCUCUCGGCAGGGAAGAAAUUGGACGGUACCUGACUAAGAAGCCCUGGCUAACUACGUGCCAGCAGCCGCGGGAAUACGUAGGGGGCAAGCGUUAUCCGGAUUUACUGGGUGUAAAGGGAGCGUAGACGGCAUGGCAAGUCAGAUGUGAAAGCCCGGGGCUCAACCCCGGGACUGCAUUUGAAACUGUCAGGCUGGAGUGCAGGAGAGGUAAGUGGAAUUCCUAGUGUAGCGGUGAGAUGCGUAGAUAUUAGGAGGAACACCAGUGGCGAAGGCGGCUUACUGGACUGUAACUGACGUUGAGGCUCGAAAGCGUGGGGAGCAAACAGGAUUAGAUACCCCCGUAA
Molecule: ribosomal RNA, 447 nt
Filed under: uncultured bacterium
Lineage: Bacteria
Description: bacterial SSU rRNA
Rfam family: Bacterial small subunit ribosomal RNA
Source: RNAcentral